RNAcentral lists this ribosomal RNA (497 nucleotides) under uncultured bacterium. RNAcentral describes it as "partial 16S ribosomal RNA". It matches the Rfam family "Bacterial small subunit ribosomal RNA", at positions 28 to 507 of the family's 1533-position model. The record is from RNAcentral.
GACGAACGCUGGCGGCGUGCCUAAUACAUGCAAGUUGAGCGCUGAAGGUUGGUACUUGUCCCAACUGGAUGAGCAGCGAACGGGUGAGUAACGCGUGGGGAAUCUGCCUUUGAGCGGGGGACAACAUUUGGAAACGAAUGCUAAUACCGCAUAAAAACUUUAAACACAAGUUUUAAGUUUGAAAGAUGCAAUUGCAUCACUCAAAGAUGAUCCCGCGUUGUAUUAGCUAGUUGGUGAGGUAAAGGCUCACCAAGGCGAUGAUACAUAGCCGACCUGAGAGGGUGAUCGGCCGCAUUGGGACUGAGACACGGCCCAAACUCCUACGGGAGGCAGCAGUAGGGAAUCUUCGGCAAUGGACGAAAGUCUGACCGAGCAACGCCGCAUGAGUGAAGAAGGUUUUCGGAUCGUAAAACUCUGUUGGUAGAGAAGAACGUUGGUGAGAGUGGAAAGCUCAUCAAGUGACGGUAACUACCCAGAAAGGGACGGCUAACUACGUG